RNAcentral lists this ribosomal RNA (621 nucleotides) under uncultured fungus. Its description in RNAcentral is "eukaryotic LSU rRNA". It matches the Rfam family "Eukaryotic large subunit ribosomal RNA", at positions 24 to 664 of the family's 3401-position model. The record is from RNAcentral. Lineage: Eukaryota; Fungi.
CCCGCUGAACUUAAGCAUAUCAAUAAGCGGAGGAAAAGAAACCAACAGGGAUUGCCUCAGUAACUGCGAGUGAAGCGGCAAUAGCUCAAAUUUGAAAUCUGGCCUCUGGCCCGAAUUGUAAUUUGUAGAGGAUGAUUCGAGGAUGGUCCAGUCUAAGUUCCUUGCAACACGACGUCAUAGAGGGUGAGAAUCCCGAAUGCGACUGGGUGCCUAAGCUCAUGUGAAGCUCCUUCGACGAGUCGAGUUGUUUGGGAAUGCAGCUCAAAAUGGGUGGUAAAUUUCAUCUAAAGCUAAAUACUGGCCAGAGACCGAUAGCGCACAAGUAGAGUGAUCGAAAGAUGAAAAGCACUUUGGAAAGAGAGUUAAACAGUACGUGAAAUUGUUGAAAGGGAAGCGCUUGCAACUAGACUUGCAUGCGGUCGAUCAUCCGAUGUUCUCACCGGUGCUCUCGAUUGCAUUCAGGCCAGCAUCGGUUUGGGGGGUUAGAUAAAGGCCUUGUGAAUGUAGCUUCUCUCGGGGAGUGUUAUAGAGCAAGGUGCAAUGUAGCCUACCGGGGCCGAGGACCGCGCUUCGUCUAGAAUGCUGGCGUAAUGGUUGUAAGUGACCCGUCUUGAAACACGG